CUGCUCAGAUUGAACGCUGGCGGCAUGCCUUUACACAUGCAAGUCGAACGGCAGCACGGAGCUUGCUCUGGUGGCGAGUGGCGAACGGGUGAGUAAUAUAUCGGAACGUACCCUGGAGUGGGGGAUAACGUAGCGAAAGUUACGCUAAUACCGCAUACGAUCUACGGAUGAAAGUGGGGGAUCGCAAGACCUCAUGCUCGUGGAGCGGCCGAUAUCUGAUUAGCUAGUUGGUAGGGUAAAAGCCUACCAAGGCAUCGAUCAGUAGCUGGUCUGAGAGGACGACCAGCCACACUGGAACUGAGACACGGUCCAGACUCCUACGGGAGGCAGCAGUGGGGAAUUUUGGACAAUGGGCGAAAGCCUGAUCCAGCAAUGCCGCGUGAGUGAAGAAGGCCUUCGGGUUGUAAAGCUCUUUUGUCAGGGAAGAAACGGUGAGAGCUAAUAUCUCUUGCUAAUGACGGUACCUGAAGAAUAAGCACCGGCUAACUACGUGCCAGCAGCCGCGGUAAUACGUAGGGUGCAAGCGUUAAUCGGAAUUACUGGGCGUAAAGCGUGCGCAGGCGGUUUUGUAAGUCUGAUGUGAAAUCCCCGGGCUCAACCUGGGAAUUGCAUUGGAGACUGCAAGGCUAGAAUCUGGCAGAGGGGGGUAGAAUUCCACGUGUAGCAGUGAAAUGCGUAGAUAUGUGGAGGAACACCGAUGGCGAAGGCAGCCCCCUGGGUCAAGAUUGACGCUCAUGCACGAAAGCGUGGGGAGCAAACAGGAUUAGAUACCCUGGUAGUCCACGCCCUAAACGAUGUCUACUAGUUGUCGGGUCUUAAUUGACUUGGUAACGCAGCUAACGCGUGAAGUAGA
This 853-nucleotide ribosomal RNA is filed under the name Janthinobacterium sp. KH1. RNAcentral's name for it is "bacterial SSU rRNA". It matches the Rfam family "Bacterial small subunit ribosomal RNA", at positions 20 to 868 of the family's 1533-position model. The record is from RNAcentral. Lineage: Bacteria; Pseudomonadati; Pseudomonadota; Betaproteobacteria; Burkholderiales; Oxalobacteraceae.